Molecule: ribosomal RNA, 301 nt
Filed under: uncultured bacterium
Lineage: Bacteria
Description: partial 16S ribosomal RNA
Rfam family: Bacterial small subunit ribosomal RNA
Source: RNAcentral
CAGUCGCCACGGUAAUACGAAGGGGGCUAGCGUUGCUCGGAAUGACUGGGCGUAAAGGGCGCGUAGGCGGCGAUCAAGGUCAGGCGUGAAAUUCCUGGGCUCAACCUGGGGGCUGCGCUUGAUACUUGGUUGCUUGAGUGGGGAAGAGGGUCGUGGAAUUCCCAGUGUAGAGGUGAAAUUCGUAGAUAUUGGGAAGAACACCGGUGGCGAAGGCGGCGACCUGGUCCUUGACUGACGCUGAGGCGCGAAAGCGUGGGGAGCAAACAGGAUUAGAUACCCGGGUAGUCCCUGUCUCUUAUAC